ACCGCCCACCCUGGCAUUUUUUUGCCAGAUUCAGGCCCAUUUUUUUGGUCGACUCUCCCAUAAUCUUAAGAAUCGACCCUUCACCCAGCUUCUCUCAGAAUCUUAACCCAUACUUGUUUUUACAAUCCUAUCUUGUUAGGAUGUGAACAGUUAGGAUUGUAAAAAAAAUUAGGUACAAGAUUCUGAAAGAAGCUGGGUGAAGGGUCGAUUCUCAAGAUUCUGAAAGAAUCGGUCAGAAGAAUUGGGCCUCAAUCUGUUCUCCUAUCCCAUGACUGCAGCGAUCAGGGCCGGGAGAUUGGGGGUGGCCGGCUGACCGCCCCGCCGGUUCGAGCUCGGAUCCACAACAUCAACCAGCCCCGCAAGCACUCCGCUCUAUUCUCCCCCUAAUUGCAGCGACCGGCGACGGCGGAUUGAAGGAGGCCGCCCAACCAGCGGAGCUCGGAUCCACUGCAUCAACCUGCGCGCGAGCCUUUCCCCACCGAUUACAGCGACCGGCGACGACUCUCAGAUCACCAGGAUACAACAAAGGGAUUGGGGGAGAAAAGCACUGAAGUGAGGUAGACGAAAGAGAGAAGAACGCGAUGGAAAAGAAAAGGGAACCAAAAUCAGAAGGUGAGUAGCCAAUAUCCGAUACGAUGAUUGUGGCUGAAGUUCUAAACGAAGAAAGCACCCAUAGCACCUUCCUUUCUAGGAUGGGUUAUGCAUCAAGAUCCGGGAGAUCUGGGACCUCUACUUAAUCAGCACAGAGCUGAGAAGAAAGGAUUGAACAGAAGGAUAGAUAGGCGAGAGAUGCAAGUGACAGACAUUGAGAUGAGUUGGAUGCGAGGCUUGAAGCACAAGUGACAACAUUUGAAGAGAUGUAGAGGAAGCAACAUGAAGAAUUGCAAGCUGUGAAGAAGAGACAGCAAGAGAAGAAUGAAGCCCUGCAAAAGAAGCAACAGGAUAUGGAUAACCUGAUUGGUUUUGUCUUAAAGGCUCAAGCAACACAGCAAGCAACUUAGCGGUCCCAGUCCAAACUUGAUGGUGCAUGAAGGCCAUCCUUUUGUGAUGGAAAGAUAGUUGCCGAAUCAUAUGUUGUAAUCAUCAGGACAACACAUGUGGUCUUUAGAUAUCUAAAUAUUGCCUUUUUAACUUGUCCAUUGUCGUAUCGAACUCGUGAGUCUUUUUAUUGUCAUUUCUAUUUAGAGGAUGAUCUGGCUGAGACGACUGAUUAUAUGAUAUGAUUUGUCGUUCAUUCAAAUUUAUGAUAUGAUUUGGAUCUUAUCUUAUUUA
Long non-coding RNA from Aegilops tauschii subsp. strangulata, 1272 nucleotides. RefSeq lists it as uncharacterized. The record is from RefSeq and is a predicted model, not a curated record. NCBI's taxonomy places the organism in Eukaryota, Viridiplantae, Streptophyta, Magnoliopsida, Poales, Poaceae.